Phragmites australis (common reed) is the source of this 707-nucleotide long non-coding RNA. RefSeq lists it as uncharacterized. NCBI's taxonomy places the organism in Eukaryota, Viridiplantae, Streptophyta, Magnoliopsida, Poales, Poaceae. The record is from RefSeq and is a predicted model, not a curated record. The transcript is spliced from 2 exons.
CAGCCGCUCCUGCUUGAACCGCCUCCAUUCUCCAGAGGAGCAGCCGGACUCCAUCUCCUUCAACCAAAAAAAAAAUCAAACCAAGCAACACAAAAAUCCCCUCCAAAUCCGGAUCAGAUAAGAAAGGGAAUUUCAUCUAGAAGGCCUCAAAUGAGAUCUCCACCGAAUCCUAAACCGUUUCCCCUCUAUCUCUAGCUCAAAUCUUCAGUUGGAGAGAGAUUCGACCGGCCACGAAUUUCGAAUCUCAACAAACUCGAGUUCUAUCCUCUUAUCUCGAAUCCUCGCUGCUGCCUAUAUAAAGAGGGGAGAUCGAUCCAAUGAAGGAGGGAGGAGGGAGAUCGGCGAGAUAGAGAGAGAAGAGAUAGAGAGAGAGGGAAAGAGCACUUUUCCCCCUCCAAUCCAGUGCCUCGUCGUCGCUCCUUUUGCUCGCCGGAUCGCCAUGGCUGUCCUCGUCGACGCUUGUGCUGUCUUGCAGACUCGGAGACGACCUCGGUAUGACGACCACCAGCGCACUUAAUCGGAGGUAGCCCGAAGACGGGCGUAAUUAACCGGAGAGCUUCACGAAGCCCCGGGAACCAAGACAAAGCAAUCGCCCAGAUUGUGAAGAUAGUCAGAUAGCGUGUGCGUUGUGGAGUAAAAAUGUAUAUGAGAAACUGUACUUUAUGAUUUCGACAUGAAUGAAUAAAGUUACAUGUUUUCGAUUAUUA